AGGACGAACGCUGGCGGCGUGCUUAACACAUGCAAGUCGAGCGGUAAGGCCUUUCGGGGUACACGAGCGGCGAACGGGUGAGUAACACGUGGGUGAUCUGCCCUGCACUCUGGGAUAAGGCCUGGGGAAACUGGGUCUAAUACCGGAUAUGGCCUGCUCUCGCAGUGGGGGUGGGUGGAAAGAUUUAUCGGUGCAGGAUGGGCCCGCGGCCUAUCGAGCUUGGUUGGUGGGGUAAUGGCCUACCAAGGCGACGACGGGUAGCCGACCUGGAGAGGGUCGACCGGCCACACGUGGGACUGGAGACGACCGGCCCAGACCUCCGUACGGGAGCAGCGAGGUGGGAAUAUGACACGAAUGGGACAAAGCCUGAUGCAGCGACGCCGCGUGAAGGAUAGGAAGGUCCGUUACGGGUUACGUAAACC
This 422-nucleotide ribosomal RNA is filed under the name uncultured soil bacterium. RNAcentral's name for it is "bacterial SSU rRNA". It matches the Rfam family "Bacterial small subunit ribosomal RNA", at positions 26 to 431 of the family's 1533-position model. The record is from RNAcentral.